UACAGAGGCCUCGAGCGUUAGGCGGAAUCACUGGGCUUAAAGCGUGUGUAGGCGGACCCCUAAGUACCUUGUGAAAUCCCCCGGCUCAACCGGGGAACGGCUGGGUAUACUGGGUGUCUUGGGUCAUCUAGGGGCUGCCGGAACAAAUGGUGGAGCGGUGAAAUGCGUAGAUAUCAUUUGGAACGCCAACGGCGAAAGCAGGCAGCUGGGGAUGCACCGACGCUGAGACACGAAAGCCAGGGGAGCGAACGGG
RNAcentral lists this ribosomal RNA (253 nucleotides) under uncultured bacterium. Its description in RNAcentral is "partial 16S ribosomal RNA". It matches the Rfam family "Bacterial small subunit ribosomal RNA", at positions 524 to 776 of the family's 1533-position model. The record is from RNAcentral.